RNAcentral lists this ribosomal RNA (432 nucleotides) under uncultured bacterium. Its description in RNAcentral is "partial 16S ribosomal RNA". It matches the Rfam family "Bacterial small subunit ribosomal RNA", at positions 29 to 506 of the family's 1533-position model. The record is from RNAcentral.
AACGAACGCUGGCGGCAGGCCUAACACAUGCAAGUCGAGCGAGGACUUCGGUUCUAGCGGCGGACGGGUGAGUAACGCGUGGGAAUGUGCCCUUCUCUACGGAAUAGCCCUGGGAAACUGGGAGUAAUACCGUAUACGCCCUAUUGGGGAAAGAUUUAUCGGAGAAGGAUCAGCCCGCGUUGGAUUAGGUAGUUGGUGGGGUAAUGGCCUACCAAGCCGACGAUCCAUAGCUGGUUUGAGAGGAUGAUCAGCCACACUGGGACUGAGACACGGCCCAGACUCCUACGGGAGGCAGCAGGGGGGAAUCUUAGACAAUGGGGGCAACCCUGAUCUAGCCAUGCCGCGUGAGUGAUGAAGGCCUUAGGGUUGUAAAGCUCUUUCAGCUGGGAAGAUAAUGACGGUACCAGCAGAAGAAGCCCCGGCUAACUCCGU